UACGUAGGGGGCAAGCGUUGUCCGGAAUCAUUGGGCGUAAAGAGCUCGUAGGCGGUCUGUUACGUCCGCUGUGAAAACCCAGGGCUUAACCCUGGGCUUGCAGUGGAUACGGGCAGACUAGAGGCAGGUAGGGGAGAAUGGAAUUCCCGGUGUAGCGGUGAAAUGCGCAGAUAUCGGGAGGAACACCGGUGGCGAAGGCGGUUCUCUGGGCCGACACUGACGCUGAGGCGCGAAAGCCAGGGGAGCGAACGGG
Molecule: ribosomal RNA, 253 nt
Filed under: uncultured bacterium
Lineage: Bacteria
Description: partial 16S ribosomal RNA
Rfam family: Bacterial small subunit ribosomal RNA
Source: RNAcentral